Molecule: ribosomal RNA, 501 nt
Filed under: Salmonella enterica subsp. enterica serovar Enteritidis
Lineage: Bacteria; Pseudomonadati; Pseudomonadota; Gammaproteobacteria; Enterobacterales; Enterobacteriaceae
Description: partial 23S ribosomal RNA
Rfam family: Bacterial large subunit ribosomal RNA
Source: RNAcentral
ACACUAUCAUUAACUGAAUCCAUAGGUUAAUGAGGCGAACCGGGGGAACUGAAACAUCUAAGUACCCCGAGGAAAAGAAAUCAACCGAGAUUCCCCCAGUAGCGGCGAGCGAACGGGGAGGAGCCCAGAGCCUGAAUCAGCAUGUGUGUUAGUGGAAGCGUCUGGAAAGGCGCGCGAUACAGGGUGACAGCCCCGUACACAAAAGCGCAUGUGCUGUGAGCUCGAUGAGUAGGGCGGGACACGUGGUAUCCUGUCUGAAUAUGGGGGGACCAUCCUCCAAGGCUAAAUACUCCUGACUGACCGAUAGUGAACCAGUACCGUGAGGGAAAGGCGAAAAGAACCCCGGCGAGGGGAGUGAAAAAGAACCUGAAACCGUGUACGUACAAGCAGUGGGAGCACCCUUUGGGUGUGACUGCGUACCUUUUGUAUAAUGGGUCAGCGACUUAUAUUCUGUAGCAAGGUUAACCGAAUAGGGGAGCCGGAGGGAAACCGAGUCUUAAC